GGGAUACCUAAUGCGUUUAGGGUUUCAUUCAUAAUGCAUCCUCAUUGUCCGCCCCCAUCUUCCUUCCCCCUUCUCUCCAGAAACCCUAAAAUCGCAAGGCCGCCUCCCCGGUACAAACACACAUUCUUAUAAAAUCAGAAAGAUCUUCGGUGUAGUUGUAGUCGGUGGAAAAAAGAUCCAGGCAGUUUUUUUUGCUGAAUGUUUUCUUAGAUCUUUUAGGGUUUUUUGUUGUUUUGUUGUAGAUGAUGAUGGAGCGGUGGAGAUACACGAGCCAGAAGGAUGAAGCUUUGCAGAUCUGAGUUUUUAGCUACAUUCAAGAACGGUACAAAAACAUUCUUGCCUCAAAUUAGGAUGAUGAAGCUUCGGUGUAGUUGAAAUCAGAUGAAGAUGGCAAGCAAAACUUUGCGGAUCUAAGACUUUUUCUUUCUUUAAUAACUUUGCAGGAAACAAGCAGAGCUAGGGAAGAUGACAAGCCCGUAUCUGAUAGGUUUGCUUCGGUAUAGUUCCAAUCGGUUGAUGAAGAUGGAAAUCAGAUGAAGAUGGAGUGAUGGAGAUGACAAGCAAAACUUUGCAGAUCUGAGUUUUAUGGUUGUAAACCCUACAUAUUUUUUCGAAUCUUCUAAUUUGUUUUUGAAAUUUUUGAUUUUUUUCAGUUGUUUAGUGGAUGAUUGUGGCAUUAGGUUCACUUGAGAUGUGAUUUCUUGUAUGUUGAAGGCUAUGAUGAUCCAGCUCUCCGUUUUAGCAGGGUGCAAGUUAAGAAGCACGUGCAAUGCUCUUGAUGAAGGAUAGAGUUAGGGCCACUAUUAUCGGAAAGUUUGUUAAACAUGGAAUGAAUCGUUGUCCGAUUGGGCUAAGGCUUCCGGGUAGCCGUUUGAAGACGUCCUUAAACGCUAGAGAUUUAGAGAUUGAACUUGGGUUGCUACAAAUGCAGCAAAUGAUUGAUAAUUUAUCCACUAAUCUUUACAACAACAGAUUUGGGGAAAUGAAGCCCACUAAUCUGGAUGAUGUUUACGGUUCGCUCUCGGCAACAAAUUCAGCAGAACUCUAACCCGCUUAGAUCAUGUUUCGGGUUUGAUUCAUCGGCUACAGUGGCACAAGCGGUGAUGAACUCGAGGUCUGGUUUGUUCGCAAAACAACGUAGCCAGAGUUUCAUUGACCAUGGCGUCGGCAACCCGAGUCUCCGGUCAAUGACUCAAUCUUCCACUUAUUCGGAAUGGGGUUCGCCUGAUGGGAAACUAGAUUGGGUUUCAAUAGUGAGGAUUCUAACAAGCUUAGAAAGUCCGCAUCUUUCGGGUUCAGAAGUGGGAGUUCGGGUUCGCCUAUGAAGGCAAAUCACAAGCCGGAAAGACGCCUUUGUUUGCAACAAGCAAGAAUGUGAAUACCUCCCAAAUGUGUUGUAUAAACUCGAAGCAGAAUAGAAAGGCGCGUUUGCGUCAAUUUGGGUGGAUGAUGACGGGUAUGUUGCGGAGGGUCCGAAUGUGAAGGUGGGUUUCGUGACGCGUGAGGAAGAGCUUAUUUUUCCGUUCAUUGACAAGAUAUUAAGCGGGUGUACUGCGAAACGGCUUCUUGAAUUAGCUCCAAAGUUGGGUGAAAACAGGAGGUUGAAGAGUGUGACAGUUGGGAAUAUUACAGUUGAGGAAGCUAAACAAGCUGCUGAGAUGAUGUAUAUUGGAAGCACCCUUCCUGUAUUACCAAUUAUUGAAUGGGAUGAAAAGCCGAUUGGCGACGGGAAAGUUGAGGAAUUGACAAUGGCGUUAUCGGACCUCGUUUGGGAAGAUAUGGUGGCUGGUACGGAGACACACAGGAUCAAGGUCCCUUAUGUAUAAAAGAAACCCGAAUGGCCGAAUUUGUGGUCAAAGUUGGUGUUGUAUUUUGAAAUCAGAAUCUGAAUAGAAGUUAAGCUUUGUGUUUGCAAGUUCUCAAGUCAUGUUGCACAGAUCAUAAUCUAUAACUUAAAUAAAGUAUAAAUUGAAGAUAAAUUAAAAAAAAUAAAAAACUUAAUAAUUGCCCCCAAGCAGGAUUGAACUACAGACCUCCAGUUUACAGACCUCCACUUAAUAAUUGCCCCCAUACACAGGCUGCUUCCUAUCCAACCUUUGGGUUGCAUAUGUUUUUGCAACAUGUCAAACCUUCCCACAAUUUAUUUUCUUCAUUGACUAAGUGGCUUGAUUGGGUUGUUCAAAAUCGACCCAAAGACAUGAUUGCCAAUGGAUACGUGGCUUCCUAUUGCAUGGUUUAUGUUACAGAUCAAACCAUCCCACAUUUUUUUUAUUGAUCAAGUCAUCUCAGCUAGAAGUUAGACUAAAUGUGCUCAUUUUUUGCAGAUUCAACAACAAGAGUUUGGUUCUUUCAGUAGUUACUGCUAGCUUCAUUCUAAACAAGAAGCCAAUAAAGAACGGCCUCCAAAGCCAAAGCUCAGAAGCAAGGAUUUGAUUAAAAGGGGCUUCCAUUCUUGUCAUGUUGAGCCCAGAUGCUUGGUAUUGGUUUAACUUCUUAAUUAAAAUGCCUGGUUAGGCAACGGCUAGAGCCGAAUCUUAGCGACCCAGAGCUAAAUGCCUUGUUCUUAUUCUUUUGAUAUUGAAAUUGUUGGAUUCGUGUA
Long non-coding RNA from Helianthus annuus (common sunflower), 2599 nucleotides. RefSeq lists it as uncharacterized. The record is from RefSeq and is a predicted model, not a curated record. NCBI's taxonomy places the organism in Eukaryota, Viridiplantae, Streptophyta, Magnoliopsida, Asterales, Asteraceae. The transcript is spliced from 7 exons.